Molecule: long non-coding RNA, 2330 nt
Organism: Pteropus alecto (black flying fox)
Lineage: Eukaryota; Metazoa; Chordata; Mammalia; Chiroptera; Pteropodidae
Exons: 6
Source: RefSeq, a predicted model, not a curated record
ACAAAGCCAGGAGAGAGGUUGAGAGCGAAGCCUCUGUUCGCUCUCGUUCUCUUCUCUCGGCUUAGAAAUGCGCUUUUGCCCUCCCAUACCCUGUUUGAAACCCCACCUCCACCUCCUUCCGCUUUCAUUCGGGGAUAAAGAUCUUUCUACAGAAAAAAAAGGUCCCCCCCCCGCUUUAAUAUUUCGAAAUGCGCGGGGAGGGGGGCGACUGGGAAGAUCGAUCACAUCAGGAGGUCGAAUCUUUGAGAAUGACAUUGACCGCUGUGGGGCUGCUAACUGUAGAAGGAUUUCGCCAUUAAAAUCUGGCUAGAAGGAGUAGAGAACAGUGAAGCCAUUCCAAGUUCAAGGGGGAGAAAAUCGAGUACAAAUUCUUAAAAUGGAGCCAAGGCUGCAGCGUUUCCGUUUUCUAUAGGUACCUCUCCCCCUGCAAACGUGCAGCCCAUGCAGCUCUCUCCUCGUCACAAAGGCGGCGCUGCUGCCGGCGCCUCCGACCACCGCCCCACCCCGCUUCCUCUCUCCUGUGCAACAAUGCAGCGGGCCGCGCACAAAGCUGCCCCCGCAGCCACAGAUCAGCCUCCUCUGCAGCGAGGGGGCAUUUGGGCAGCCUCGGCACACAUUCUCCUGCAGGAUGGUCUUUUUAAACGUUUCACAGCCCAGACACCUUAAACCUGGAUCGAUACAGCCCACGAAGCUGUCAGAUGCUAGAGGAAAAAUGCUAAUUGUUGCAGCUCCGGGCUUGGGUGGGUGUGAGCUGGAACAAAGGACCGGAUUCAUCACUGCCUAAGAGCCAUCACCUAGCAAGGGUGCGGUGUACCCCGCAGGAGAGCCUCGCCCACUGCAGCGGUGAGAUUCGUGUGACUCAGCGUUCAGGCCAGUAGAGGGCGUUCACCCCACUCAACCCGCUUCGUCUCCUCCAAGACGGUCUCCGUGACUCGGAUUGGAGGUCUUUUUCCGUGCUGUGGCAAGAAGUGUCACUGGAAAGUCGACUGUGACCUACCCGCUUAAGGAAGGGUCUCAUCUCUUCCCUCUAAAAAGUUGGAACAAGUGGACCUCAUCUUGCUUAGACUUCUCAGCCUCACCACUGAAGACUGAGGUGCUUGGGCCCUGUGGUCCCCACACCUAUCACUCCUUUAGAGCCCAGGGUAACUUUGCUAGUGGCAGUCUGAAUGUGCCCGCAUUCUUUCUCGGUGAAGGGGUUAAUUAAAAGCUGUUGGCAAUUAUCUCAAGUGGGGCGAUGGAGGGGACCUACCAAAGCCGUUUGAAGUGGAUGGCCUCCAUCCCGCUGGCGACAUGCCUCAUCUGGACUCUGCCGCAGCCACUGCUUCCACACCUGUCUCCUGUCACUUCCCAACAGAUGAUCGAAGAGUCGUUAAACAUUGAAUGGAGAAUUAGAAAUAAGUAUUCAAGAAAUGAAAGACAGAUCUGUUUGUGCUGAAAAUCCUUUAGAAAAAUACGUGAAAAACAUCCAGAAGACCCAAGACCAAGAGAUGGCAGAUAAGGUGCUGAUGCUAUGGACUCUCUAUCUGGGGUAGGGACUGGAAGAGACGGAGGUGAGGGUUUUUCGGUUUACUGGAAAACUUGGGGACAGGAGGCUGCCUUCUCCAUUGGCAACAAAAAGGUAAAAGCAGACAAAAACCAAAGUUUAUAUGGAGACUUGAGUCUUAAAUGUAUUACACUCUUGACAAAAUUUCAUCACUUUUGCUUGGGUAAAUCAUAGAACAGAUUUUAGUUUGUCACAAUUUGUAAAGAUUAGAUGUCUUAUUUUUAGAACAAUAAAAAAUAUAAUGAAAGCCUUAUCAAUGAAUAGUGAAUGCAUUGGUACUUUCUGAGACUUUGAUACUCUAUAUAAGUCUGAAGUACUAUGGAUAUUGAGAAUGCAUUUUAGAUAGUUCAAUGUGCUUGCUAAAUUUUGUGUUUAAAAGUCACCUCUUUUGGACUCUUAAAUUUUAUAUAUAUGUAAUAUACAUUAAUAGUCCUUAGAGAAAUCAAACUGUUUAAUAAUAUUAAAACACAUCUAAUUUCAAAAUUCUUUCCCUCCCUUUGAAUCAAAGCUCAUAAGAUUGUCAAAAGGUUCACAAAUGAACACACUACUACCUAGUGACAAAGACAAAAGGUAUGGUUUGCCCACUCUCUCAUUCUUAAGCACACCAUUUCAUUUUGCUGGUUUUGUUGGCCAAGGGGAACAUUCAGAUACUGGACUGAGCCUAUAAAAACUUGUUGAAUCAAUAAAUAUUACUAACAUCAAAAAUAUCUAUUACAUUUUUUAAUUUGUGAAAUUGCUACAGAUAAAAAUUGUCAGUGAAGACAGAAACCCCAUGAAGAAGGAAUGA